GUGCUGCAAAUAUUGCAUUGGAAUUAGUUGGAAGAUAUGGUGAGUUGUUGACUUUGGAGUUCUUGAACUGUGAAGAUUCUCCUUAGGCUUUGCUGGAAAACCAGAAGCCUUCUUAAGCGAAAUCACCUUCAACUUUUGGCAAAGCUGGGUAUAUUAUUCUUGCAAUUGAUACCAACAGGGAUGCAUCAGAUAAUGGGAUAUAAGGAGGUAUUAAAUGGAAUAUUGGACUACUUGCUAUAGGUAAAAUUAAAUGGUGGUGGAGACGCGGAGGACAUCACCAGGGGAGGUAAGCAAAGAUGCGGAGGACAAUACCAGGGGAGGCAAUUUCUGCUUUUCCGGUUGGAAGUAAGAUGUGAAGACGUUGGUUUGGGUUGCAAGUAUGAAGACAUCGGUUCGGAAAGUUAUUGUAUAUUACUUUCAUCUUUAGAGAUAUAUGUAUUUGUGUUACUUUGAAACUUUUGUAAUUUUGUGUUACUUUGAAACCGUUUGUAAUUUAUAUUCUUGGGUUAAUUUAUAUUGGUUU
RNAcentral lists this long non-coding RNA (523 nucleotides) under Helianthus annuus (common sunflower). Its description in RNAcentral is "hypothetical non coding rna". The record is from RNAcentral. Lineage: Eukaryota; Viridiplantae; Streptophyta; Magnoliopsida; Asterales; Asteraceae.